CCCCAUGCGCAGUGGCAGUAUCAUAGCCAAUGAGGUCAAACUGAGGCAUGAUUAUUGCUAAUGGG
Molecule: small nuclear RNA, 65 nt
Filed under: Xenopus tropicalis (tropical clawed frog)
Lineage: Eukaryota; Metazoa; Chordata; Amphibia; Anura; Pipidae
Description: Xenopus (Silurana) tropicalis (western clawed frog) U4 spliceosomal RNA
Rfam family: U4 spliceosomal RNA
About the family: U4 small nuclear RNA (U4 snRNA) is a component of the major U2-dependent spliceosome.
Source: Rfam by way of RNAcentral